RNAcentral lists this ribosomal RNA (259 nucleotides) under uncultured prokaryote. Its description in RNAcentral is "partial 16S ribosomal RNA". It matches the Rfam family "Bacterial small subunit ribosomal RNA", at positions 524 to 782 of the family's 1533-position model. The record is from RNAcentral.
UACGUAGGGUGCGAGCGUUGUCCGGAAUUAUUGGGCGUAAAGAGCUUGUAGGCGGUUUGUCGCGUCUGCUGUGAAAAUCCGGGGCUCAACCUCGGACUUGCAGUGGGUACGGGCAGACUAGAGUGUGGUAGGGGAGACUGGAAUUCCUGGUGUAGCGGUGAAAUGCGCAGAUAUCAGGAGGAACACCGAUGGCGAAGGCAGGUCUCUGGGCCACUACUGACGCUGAGAAGCGAAAGCAUGGGGAGCGAACAGGAUUAGA